Molecule: non-coding RNA, 73 nt
Organism: Stegodyphus mimosarum
Lineage: Eukaryota; Metazoa; Arthropoda; Arachnida; Araneae; Eresidae
Source: Rfam
GCCUUCGUGGUGUAAUGGUCAGCACACUCAGCGCGUAUUCUAGAGGUCCGAGGUUCGAGCCCCGGCGGGGGCA